UACGUAGGGGGCAAGCGUUGUCCGGAUUUAUUGGGCGUAAAGAGCGUGUAGGCGGCCAGAUAGGUCUGUUGUGAAAACUCGAGGCUCAAUCUCGAGACGCCGAUGGAAACCAUUUGGCUAGAGUCCGGAAGAGGAGAGUGGAAUUCCUGGUGUAGCGGUGAAAUGCGCAGAUAUCAGGAAGAACACCCGUGGCUAAGGCGGCUCUCUAGUACGGUACUGACGCUGAGACGCGAAAGCGUGGGGAGCGAACAGG
RNAcentral lists this ribosomal RNA (253 nucleotides) under uncultured bacterium. RNAcentral's name for it is "partial 16S ribosomal RNA". It matches the Rfam family "Bacterial small subunit ribosomal RNA", at positions 524 to 776 of the family's 1533-position model. The record is from RNAcentral.